RNAcentral lists this ribosomal RNA (253 nucleotides) under uncultured bacterium. Its description in RNAcentral is "partial 16S ribosomal RNA". It matches the Rfam family "Bacterial small subunit ribosomal RNA", at positions 524 to 776 of the family's 1533-position model. The record is from RNAcentral.
UACGUAGGUGGCAAGCGUUGUCCGGAUUUACUGGGCGUAAAGAGCGCGCAGGCGGUCGACUAAGUCGAGUGUGAAAGCCCCCGGCUCAACUGGGGAGGGUCACUUGAUACUGGUCGACUCGAAGGCAGGAGAGGGAAGUGGAAUUCCCGGUGUAGUGGUGAAAUGCGUAGAUAUCGGGAGGAACACCAGUGGCGAAGGCGACUUCCUGGCCUGUUCUUGACGCUGAGGCGCGAAAGCUAGGGGAGCAAACGGG